Molecule: ribosomal RNA, 737 nt
Filed under: Elphidium macellum
Lineage: Eukaryota; Foraminifera; Rotaliida; Elphidiidae
Description: SSU rRNA
Rfam family: Eukaryotic small subunit ribosomal RNA
Source: RNAcentral
UCCGGACACACUGAGGAUUGACAGACAUUUAUAUGCGCAAGUAUAUAUUUAAAGAUGCUAGUUCUUUCAUGAUUAUGUGAUAGGUGGUGCAUGGCCGUUCUUAGUUCGUGGAGUGAUCUGUCUGCUUAAUUGCGUUUCAUAUUAUUAUAUAAUAUACACACAUUACGUGUGUUAUAUUAUUACUUUGAAAGCAACGAACGUGACCGUAGCCUUUUAUUAUAUACGCUACACGUAUAUUAAUUAAAGGGACCGCUGUAUCUUUCUUUAAACCAGAGUAAGGUUACGGCAAUAACAGGUCUGUGAUGCCCUUCGAUGUUCCGGGCUGCACACGUGCUACAAUGAUUAUUUCAUUAAGUAUCUACUGUGCAAUAAUAUAUUAUUAUUAUUCAAAACCUACUCUGAGAAUGAGCGGGUAAUCAAUUAGAAGUAAUGAUUUCCAAAUUUAUACACUCAUGUACCGUAUAUAUUAUCCCAUAUUUUAAUUAAUAUGCGUGUAUAAUAUUGUACGCUGUACGUAUAUUUAUUAAUUCAUGGUGGGGAUAGACUAUUGUUAAUUGUUGGUCUCGGUCUUAACUAGGAAUGCCUUGUACGGGUCAUUGGUUCAACAGACCACCCGGAAUACGUCCCUGCCCUUUGUACACACCGCCCGUCGCUCUUACCGAUGAACUUCGCUAUGAAUCUAUUGGACUGUACCAUUGUGGUAUGGAAAGAUAUAUGAAUAGUGUGGUUUAAAGGAA